UCUCCGUGGGCGCAUCGAUGCUGUCUAUGCUCAUUCUCCGUGGUAGGAGAAUGAGUGUCCAGUGAAUAACGGGAAUGGUGAUUAACAAAGCUGGUUUGUAGCCUAUUAUCUGGGAAGCUGGCUGGAGUAAAUGGAGCAGGAUGACAGACGGCGACUCCAACUAUACACAGAGAAAAAAUAUAGGACAGCCGUGUGCUGCCACCGCCCUGAGCUAAGGUUAACUCUGCGAGUCUGUGCUCAGAGCGCUCAAACAAAAGCACUGCGAGGGCCUGUUUAGUACACAAAGUGCCAUUAUAUGGUGGAAAGGUGCCAUUCAUGCCACUGCUUGUGUCAUGAAUGGCACAAUAUAUGUGACCGGGGGCCACUAUGGAUCUAGAGGAAGCAGCACCUAAGAAAAAAUGCAGGCCUACAGGCCGGACAUCAAUGAGUGGAUCAUUGUCACAAUAAAUCUUCAUCCAGAGUAUGGCCUGUGCUCUGUUUCUCUGAACAACAAGCUGUACUUGGUGGGAGGACAGACUAAGAUCACAGACUGCUAAGAUCCAGAGAGAGAUGAGUGGAGGCAGUUGUCAAUGAUGAAGGAGAGGAGGAUGGAGUGUGACACUGUAGUGAUAAAUGGCUGCAUCUAUGUGACUGGGGGAUAUUCCUAUUCAAAAGGGACGUAUCUGCAGAGCAUUGAGAAGUAUGACCCUGAGCUGGGCACCUGGGAGGUUGUGGGAAGCCUCCCCAGCCCAACAAGAACACACUGCUGCGUUUGUAUUUACAGUGUGCAGUGUCUUUCAAUGUACUUUUACAACAAACCUCAACUAAAUCCUGUGGAUGCAGUUCCUUUGUGCCAUACUGAUCAUGAGUGGCAGGUGCUAUACGUUUGUGACAGGUGCUAAGAAUCUUUUUACAAAAAGUGACAUUAUUUAGAGUAUCUUUAUAACCAUUUGGCCAAAAACAAAUGUUCAGUGACAAAUGACUGCUGCUGGUUUAAUAUUACAAAAAAAGCACAUCGUUUUCAAUCCACUUAAAUUGAAUGGCUUCUAACACACUGGUUCUCAUGCACUUUAACAUUACCAUUUGUGUACUUUUAGACUGGUAAACCUGAUAAAGCACUGAUAUGCACAAAUGCACACAGUUUUUAGACAAAUCUCUACACUUGAAGCACAAAUGUCAACAGGUGGGUAUCAACCUUACAUCUGAAUCUUAGGGUUUGGGGUAUGCACAAUUAAUCAGGUUUCCUAUGUGGAGACCUCGGAUUCUGAAAAUAAUGAACUAAAACAACUAUACUGUGGCUGAUUGAUGCAGUUCAUGCACCAGAUUUUACUUGUUGAUAAAUGUAACGUUCAUCUACAAGAUGGUGCGCAUAGAUGUGGUGGUUGUAUGUUCAUUGAUUUCGUAGAGUGUGAUGUGUGA
This is a long non-coding RNA of Coregonus clupeaformis (lake whitefish), 1398 nucleotides long. RefSeq lists it as uncharacterized. Lineage: Eukaryota; Metazoa; Chordata; Actinopteri; Salmoniformes; Salmonidae. The transcript has 3 exons. The record is from RefSeq and is a predicted model, not a curated record.